RNAcentral lists this long non-coding RNA (1056 nucleotides) under Nicotiana benthamiana. RNAcentral describes it as "long non-coding RNA (NBEN_LNC003638)". Lineage: Eukaryota; Viridiplantae; Streptophyta; Magnoliopsida; Solanales; Solanaceae. The record is from RNAcentral.
UAGUUAAGGUGAUAUUUUCCUUAUAUAUGAACACAAAUACGCUGAUUUACUUGAUUGAUAUAUUUUUUUUGGUUAAGUAUCAUGCACCUAGUCUUUAUUAUAUACCUAGUUCUAUUCUUGUUUCCUUAUGUGAUCAGGCUUACUUUAUGAUUCCUUUUCUUUUUAAAAUGGCUUCUUAUUACUGUUUUCCUAUGACUCCUUAAUUAAAGGGGAGUCCCUAUGCGUGUGUGAUUAUGAUUGAUAUCAGUUCUUUAAAUAUGAACUGAUACCUUAUUUGCUUACUCUUUUAGUACUAUAAGUACCCUCUCCCCAUUCUCUUUGAAACACAUCAACAUAUUACAUAUCUCUCAUACUGAGGCAUUACAGUCUCUCUAAACUUUCUUUCAAUAACACUCAUUGCUCUCUAUCUCUCUACUGUUUUGUUUCUUUCCUACAAAUUCUCUCACUCAAUCGGCUGAAAGCCAAGAUUGAGUAAUCUUGGUUGUUUACUUCGGCACUACUAAGGUUCUGCUACAUUAUUUGCUUGGGUUUGCAUGCUGCUCUCUUUGUUGUACACUGACAUUCUCUCUUUGCUGCAUAUUGCUGCUCUCACCUUGCUUCUCUCAUUCUCUGCAUACUUUGCUCUCUUUGUGCACUACUGCUCAUUAUUAUUGUCUUCCAUUGUCUGUAACUGGUAUGCUACCUAUUUAAUGUACAGUUUCCAAAACAACAUGUUUUUACUAGUUUUGCACUUUUUCUUGUUCCUUGUGUGCUUUUACCUAUGGUUCUGCUGCUCUUGUUGUCACUAGUAUACACUUACCAGUUUACUCAGUUUAGCUUAGCAUGUUCCCUUACCCUCUUCCCUGCCUCAAUGUAUGUUUUCUUCUUUCCUUGUGUCUACUACCAUGUGUCCAGGUCUGCUUGACUGUUUUAUUAGUCUAAAACAUCUUCCUAAGUGUAGUUAUGUUGGAGUUUGGUACUGAACUCCUAUUUUGCAACCAGGUUUGAUUACUUUUGUCCAAUGUGUUGCCUGUGUGUGAGUAGUUUACUAUGCUUAUCUGUUCCCUCCCUCUUGCC